Molecule: ribosomal RNA, 395 nt
Filed under: Foraminifera environmental sample
Lineage: Eukaryota; Foraminifera
Description: partial small subunit ribosomal RNA
Rfam family: Eukaryotic small subunit ribosomal RNA
Source: RNAcentral
GUGGAGCAUGUGGCUCAAUUUGACCCAACGCGGGGAACCUUACCGGGUCCGGACACACAGAGGAUUGACUUACUUUUAGUUUGCAGACCAUUCAUGAUCGUGUGGUAGGUGGUGCAUGGCCGUUCUUAGUCCGUGGGGUGACCAGUCAGCUUAACUGUGACUUUAACUUAUAUAAUUACUUUCACAUUUUUUUUCUUGACACAAAAAACCUCGUGCUGUCAAAUAAAGGAAUUUGAACGUGCUCGCCCUUGAUAGUUUGUCUAAAACUUUAUUAUCAACAAAAAUGGCACACGGGACUCUUUUAUUUUUUCGUUUUGCCCUGCCUAACUGCGUUCCAAACGUAAGUGGGCAGGAUUAACCAAAUUUUCGAUGAUUCUAAGCAACGAACGUGACCG